GCCCCUUUAGCUCAGUGGUAGAGCGCCUCACUCGUAAUGAGGAAGUCAGCAGUUCAAGUCUGCUAAGGGGCU
This 72-nucleotide transfer RNA is filed under the name Thermosynechococcaceae cyanobacterium MS004. RNAcentral's name for it is "tRNA-Thr". It matches the Rfam family "tRNA". Rfam says of the family: Transfer RNA (tRNA) molecules are approximately 80 nucleotides in length. Lineage: Bacteria; Bacillati; Cyanobacteriota; Cyanophyceae; Acaryochloridales; Thermosynechococcaceae. The record is from RNAcentral.